UCGAGGGACGAACCGAGUGCUUGCGCUUGGGGAAACCGGCGAACGGGUGAGUAACACGUGAGGAACCUGCCCUGUACACCGGGAUAACUACGGGAAACCGUGGCUAAUACCGGAUGCUCCACCUUGAUCGCAUGAUCGGGGUGGGAAAGCUCAGGCGGUACAGGAGGGCCUCGCGGCGUAUCAGCUAGUUGGUGGGGUAAUGGCCUACCAAGGCUACGACGCGUAGCUGGAGUGAGAGCUCGAACAGCCACACUGGGACUGAGACACGGCCCAGACUCC
This 279-nucleotide ribosomal RNA is filed under the name unidentified marine bacterioplankton. RNAcentral's name for it is "partial 16S ribosomal RNA". It matches the Rfam family "Bacterial small subunit ribosomal RNA", at positions 62 to 339 of the family's 1533-position model. RNAcentral also lists the same sequence under 1 other name. The record is from RNAcentral.